AUUGAACGCUGGCGGCGUGCCUAACACAUGCAAGUCGAGCGGUAACAGGUGUAGCAAUACAUGCUGACGAGCGGCGAACGGGUGAGUAAUGCUUCGGAAUCUACCCAAUGGUGGGGAAUAACCAGCCGAAAGGUUGGCUAAUACCGCAUACGUCCCACGGGAGAAAGCAGGGGAUCGCAAGACCUUGCGCCAAUGGAUGAGCCGAAGUCGGAUUAGCUAGUUGGAGGGUAACGGCCUACCAAGGCGACGAUCCGUAGCUGGUCUGAGAGGACGACCAGCCACACUGGGACUGAGACACGGCCCAGACUCCUACGGGAGGCAGCAGUGGGGAAUAUUGGACAAUGGGGGAAACCCUGAUCCAGCGACGCCGCGUGUGUGAAGAAGGCCUGCGGGUUGUAAAGCACUUUUAGUGGGGAUNAAAUGUUCAGGGUUAACACCUCUGGAUUUUGACCUAACCCACAGAAAAAG
Molecule: ribosomal RNA, 468 nt
Filed under: uncultured bacterium
Lineage: Bacteria
Description: bacterial SSU rRNA
Rfam family: Bacterial small subunit ribosomal RNA
Source: RNAcentral